RNAcentral lists this ribosomal RNA (746 nucleotides) under uncultured Chlamydia sp. RNAcentral describes it as "bacterial SSU rRNA". It matches the Rfam family "Bacterial small subunit ribosomal RNA", at positions 54 to 781 of the family's 1533-position model. Lineage: Bacteria; Pseudomonadati; Chlamydiota; Chlamydiia; Chlamydiales; Chlamydiaceae. The record is from RNAcentral.
CAUGCAAGUCGAACGGAAUAAUGACUUCGGUUGUUAUUUAGUGGCGGAAGGGUUAGUAAUACAUAGAUAAUCUGUCCUCAACUUGGGAAUAACGGUUGGAAACGACCGCUAAUACCGAAUGUGGUAUGUUUAGGCAUCUAAAACAUAUUAAAGAAGGGGAUCUUCGGACCUUUCGGUUGAGGGAGAGUCUAUGGGAUAUCAGCUUGUUGGUGGGGUAAUGGCCUACCAAGGCUUUGACGUCUAGGCGGAUUGAGAGAUUGACCGCCAACACUGGGACUGAGACACUGCCCAGACUUCUACGGAAGGCUGCAGUCGAGAAUCUUUCGCAAUGGACGAAAGUCUGACGAAGCGACGCCGCGUGUGUGAUGAAGGCUCUAGGGUUGUAAAGCACUUUCGCUUGGGAAUAAGAGAGAUUGGCUAAUAUCCAAUCGAUUUGAGCGUACCAGGUAAAGAAGCACCGGCUAACUCCGUGCCAGCAGCUGCGGUAAUACGGAGGGUGCUAGCGUUAAUCGGAUUUAUUGGGCGUAAAGGGCGUGUAGGCGGAAAGGAAAGUUAGAUGUUAAAUCUUGGGGCUCAACCCCAAGCCAGCAUCUAAUACUAUCUUUCUAGAGGGUAGAUGGAGAAAAGGGAAUUCCACGUGUAGCGGUGAAAUGCGUAGAUAUGUGGAAGAACACCAGUGGCGAAGGCGCUUUUCUAAUUUACACCUGACGCUAAGGCGCGAAAGCAAGGGGAGCAAACAGGAUUAG